This 250-nucleotide ribosomal RNA is filed under the name uncultured prokaryote. RNAcentral's name for it is "partial 16S ribosomal RNA". It matches the Rfam family "Bacterial small subunit ribosomal RNA", at positions 524 to 773 of the family's 1533-position model. The record is from RNAcentral.
UACGGAGGAUGCAAGCGUUAUCCGGAUUUAUUGGGUUUAAAGGGUGCGUAGGCGGAAGAUUAAGCGUGAGGUGAAAUGCCACAGCUCAACUGUGGAACUGCCUCGCAAACUGGUUUUCUUGAAUGCCCCUGCCGUGGGAGGAAUGUGUGGUGUAGCGGUGAAAUGCAUAGAGAUCACACAGAACACCGAUUGUGAAGUCAUCUCACGAAGGGGCGAUUGACGCUGAGGCACGAAAGCGUGGGGAUCAAAC